GCUGUGGCUCAGCGAUAAAGCAUCCGCCUGGCAUGCAGAAGGUGCCUGGUUCAAUCCCCGAUAUCUUCA
Molecule: transfer RNA, 69 nt
Filed under: Sphaerodactylus townsendi
Lineage: Eukaryota; Metazoa; Chordata; Lepidosauria; Squamata; Sphaerodactylidae
Description: tRNA-Ala
Source: RNAcentral